Molecule: ribosomal RNA, 722 nt
Filed under: uncultured bacterium
Lineage: Bacteria
Description: bacterial SSU rRNA
Rfam family: Bacterial small subunit ribosomal RNA
Source: RNAcentral
AGAGUUUGAUCCUGGCUCAGAACGAACGCUGGCGGCGUGGAUAAGACAUGCAAGUCGUGCGACAGACCAGGAAUUGAUUACUUCGGUUUGAUUUUCCUGACGAUGAGCGGCGAACGGGUGCGUAACACGUGAGAAAUCUGCCCUUAAGUUCGGAAUAGCCCUACGAAAGUAGAAUUAAUACCGGAUGUGGCCCAGGGAGGGCAUCUUCCCCUGGCUAAAGCUUGACCAGCAAUGGUUAGAGCGCUUUUGGAUGAUCUCGCGGUCUAUCAGCUUGUUGGUGAGGUAACGGCUCACCAAGGCUUUGACGGAUAGCUGGUCUGAGAGGAUGAUCAGCCUCACUGGAACUGAGACACGGUCCAGACACCUACGGGUGGCAGCAGUCGAGAAUCAUUCACAAUGGGCGCAAGCCUGAUGGUGCGACGCCGCGUGGGGGAUGAAGGGCUUCGGUUCGUAAACCCCUGUCAUCUGUGAGUAAGACUCCCAAUAAAAGCUUGGGAGGUUGAUAUUAGCAGAAGAGGAAGGGACGGCUAACUCUGUGCCAGCAGCCGCGGUAAUACAGAGGUCCCAAGCGUUGUUCGGAUUUACUGGGCGUAAAGGGUGCGUAGGCGGCUAGAAAAGUUUGGUGUGAAAUCUUCGGGCUCAACCCGGAAACUGCACUGAAAACUGUCUGGCUAGAGGAUCGGAGAGGAGAUUGGAAUUCUCGGUGUAGCAGUGAAAUGCGU